CCACGAUCUCCCCCCCCCGGUGACGGGAAUCCGGUGAAAUGCCGGAGCGGCCCCGCCACUGUUACCGUGACGAAACCGCAACUUUUGCCACUGGCUUUUGCCGGGAAGGCGCGGGAGUAGGAGGAACGGAAGCCAGGAGACCGGCCGGGGGGAGAGAACCAUG
This 163-nucleotide non-coding RNA is filed under the name Synergistales bacterium. Lineage: Bacteria; Thermotogati; Synergistota; Synergistia; Synergistales. The record is from RNAcentral.